GAUGAACGCUGGCGGCGUGCUUAACACAUGCAAGUCGAACGGAAAGGCUCCGCUUUGCAGGGGUACUCGAGUGGCGAACGGGUGAGUAACACGUGGGUGAUCUGCCCUGCACUUCGGGAUAACCGUGGGAAACUGGGGCUAAUACCGGAUAGGAGGAUGGGUUGGAUGGUGAUGUUGGGAGAUUUUCGGUGUGGGUUGAGCUAGCGGCGUAUCAGCUUGUUGGUGGGGUAGUGGCCUACUAAGGCGUCGACGGGUAGUCGGCCUGAGAGGGUGUACGGCCACAUUGGGACUGAGAUACGGCCCAGACUCCUACGGGAGGCAGCAGUGGGGAAUAUUGCACAAUGGGCGCAAGCCUGAUGCAGCGACGCCGCGUGGGGGAUGACGGCCUUCGGGUUGUAAACGCCUUUCGCUAGGGACGAAGCGCAAGUGACGGUACCUGGAGAAGAAGCACCGGCUAACUACGUG
This 465-nucleotide ribosomal RNA is filed under the name uncultured bacterium. RNAcentral describes it as "partial 16S ribosomal RNA". It matches the Rfam family "Bacterial small subunit ribosomal RNA", at positions 28 to 507 of the family's 1533-position model. The record is from RNAcentral.